GGCACCUACGUGUGUUUUGUCUUAACUUGUGGACUAAAACUUAAUGAACAGGUAUAAAAAAUAAAGCCUCUUUUGCAACCCAGAACUCAUUGUUUGGUAUGAGUUUUGACACGCAUAAGAAGGAAUAUU
Molecule: small nucleolar RNA, 129 nt
Filed under: Chinchilla lanigera (long-tailed chinchilla)
Lineage: Eukaryota; Metazoa; Chordata; Mammalia; Rodentia; Chinchillidae
Description: Small nucleolar RNA SNORA40 (ENSCLAG00000018663.1)
Rfam family: Small nucleolar RNA SNORA40
About the family: The snoRNA ACA 40 belongs to the H/ACA family of snoRNAs and guides the pseudouridylation of 28S rRNA subunit at position U4565. NB This family has a high threshold value to exclude a large number of closely related sequences that do not appear to have conserved H and ACA boxes, and may be pseudogenes.
Source: Rfam by way of RNAcentral